CGUUUGGAAUAAAUUCGCCGAUUUGACUUUUUUGUCAAAUUAUUGAAUGCUUCCCUUCCCUUCCCUUUCCUUCUCGGUCUCCUCGUUUUCGAUCGCGUUAAUUUAAAACAAAACGCGUAACCGAUUAAUUGGUUGCUACUCGAGUCUUUAAAACUUGGCGGGGAUCGAGAUAAGAGAAUCGCUCGGGUAAAAGAAUCCAGAUUUAAUCUUCGCAAUGCCUAAUUUCAGAGCAAAUAGUUUAUUCAUGUGUAUUUUUUGACCUGAAAGUUUUCUCAAGAGGAUUAUCAGCAAAUUCAACUUAUUUUCAACUCGAGAUAAACGACGUACAUUACAAGAGAAAAUGUACACAUAUAAUUGAUACAUGUAUAAACAUUUGAAGACCACAGGAGAACUUGAUAAGUCACAUUUUUUAGAGGAAAGCGUUUUUGAAGUUCGAAACGUACGUGUAUUUCUCUGUACAAGUUUUUUUAUAAAACUGCUUAUAUCUCAGAAUCUAUCAAUAAUUUUUCCCUCUCGCUUUGAAUAAUUAAAAUAUUUCAUUUUUCAACUACUAAAUAACAUCAAAAACCAGAAAUCGAAAAAAAUGAACUUAUUUAAGUUCUUCUCUUGCGGCCUUCAUUUGUAAUACAAAGUUUUGGAUAUAUCUCGGAAAUCGUUUCUGGUUAACGAUAUCGAAAUUUCCAAGUUGACUCUCGUACUCGAUCUUUGGUUUACAACGUUUCGACUAUGGAUGGCAUCUUAGAGUAUCACUUUCGACUAAGGAUUCGUAAUAUGUCGAUCAUAAGUGUUGAUUCGAGUCGAUAUAUAUUGGCAAAUUGGAUGAAAAUGGAAAGAAAACAGCGGGGAAAAAACGGCGAAAGAAGAACAAGACUGUGCUGCGACUUGUUCUUUUACAGGGCGUAAGAAUGAAAGAGAAGAAA
This is a long non-coding RNA of Pseudomyrmex gracilis, 920 nucleotides long. RefSeq lists it as uncharacterized. The record is from RefSeq and is a predicted model, not a curated record. The transcript has 2 exons. NCBI's taxonomy places the organism in Eukaryota, Metazoa, Arthropoda, Insecta, Hymenoptera, Formicidae.